Long non-coding RNA from Cervus elaphus (red deer), 1909 nucleotides. RefSeq lists it as uncharacterized. NCBI's taxonomy places the organism in Eukaryota, Metazoa, Chordata, Mammalia, Artiodactyla, Cervidae. The transcript is spliced from 6 exons. The record is from RefSeq and is a predicted model, not a curated record.
AUGGGAUUUUCAAGGCAAGAGUACUGGAGUGGGGUGCCAUCACCUUCUCCGUCACGAACAAUUUCAUGGACUCCGACAAGAAAGCGAUGGAGCUCUAAGAAACAAAUUACAGCCACUCUCAGUUCAGCACAGCAUCGGCAGACAUUGGUGUUUACUCAUCACAGGAGCAUCUACUAACAGUCAGUGGGAGACAUGGAGUUACCAUGUUAGAGAUAAUUUCUCCAGUUCGCAGAGAGUGAGAAUGGUGUCCUCAAGAUCUCACCCUGGAGGGCCGGCUCCCUGUGCAGCCCCUCCCAGCUGGCAGGGGUUGGCAGAAAGGGUAAACCUUCUUGGAUGGCCUUCAGACUGGAGCACAGUAAACACCAGAAGGUGAAUAUUUCCCAAAUCCUGUUGACAAAAAUUCCUCCUCAUGGAUCCAGUCACAGAUGGAAGGGAAUGUCCAGGGGCCCGUUAAGUAAGCUAUCUAGUUUGAAGGAAUUGCCGAAAGCAGCAAAAUUGCUGAAGACAAGUGGCUCUGAGCAGGCUCAGAAACCAGUGCCCCCUCCCAGAGAAGCAAGGACCCCUGGACAACACCCCAGACGAAAAGUCGAACUCAGAAGAAAGGAGACUGGAGUGAAGAGGGAUAGUCUACGAGAAAGAAAAAGCCACGUGUGCCAAGAGGUCAGCGAGCCCCAGGAAGAUGACUGCCUCUAUGGAAGGGAAUGUCCAGGGGCCCAUUAAGUAAGCUAUCUAGUUUGAAGGAAUUGCCGAAAGCAGCAAAAUUGCUGAAGACAAGUGGCUCUGAGCAGGCUCAGAAACCAGUGCCCCCUCCCAGAGAAGCAAGGACCCCUGGACAACACCCCAGACGAAAAGUCGAACUCAGAAGAAAGGAGACUGGAGUGAAGAGGGAUAGUCUACGAGAAAGAAAAAGCCACGUGUGCCAAGAGGUCAGCGAGCCCCAGGAAGAUGACUGCCUCUGUGAGUGACCCUGCUGGCCCACUCACGGAGAAGGGGUUAUGAGGCCUCGGUCCAGUAACCUCACCUCGCCAUCUGGUCCCCCAAUCUUUCUGAAGGUCUUUACGACCAGCAACAUCACUAUACCUCCCUUCGUCCCCGUUGCUCUAGCCUCCAGAUUGUGAGGAGUGUCAGAAAUUCUUCAUCGACAGCUGUGCUGCCCAUGUUGCUCCAACCUUUGUAAAGGACUCUGCACUGGAGAAGGGGCAUGCGAACCACUCAGCCCUCACUCUGCCCUCUGGGUUAAGUUUCAGACUCUCGGGCAUCCCUGAGGCUGGGCUUGGAAUAUGGAACGAGGCUCCCGAUCUUCCUCUGGGCCUGCACUUUGGCCCCUAUGAGAGCCAGAUCACAGACAAUGAAGAGGCCGCCAAGAGUGGAUACUCCUUGGCUUGUGAGGAAUAACCCUCUUUGCCUGUCCUCUGGCCUCAAAUCGCUUGUGUGUGGUGGAGAGUUACUCCACGUCUACAUGCAAGGAUGCACAUGGUGAUGACAUGGUCGGCAAUGACACAGUCGGCCCUGUGUACUGUGUGCCCUGGGCAUGAACACAGGACUGCUAAAGAUCAGAGGAAGGUGGGACACAGUGGUACAGGCACACAGGACUUCUAUCUAAAGAUCAGAGGAGAUGUGGGAGGCGGUGGUACGGGCAUACAGAAGUGACUCCUCACUUGUGGAGCCCUUGCCUUCAAUGUGCCAAUAGACUCAGACUUGGAAUGAUGAUUAAGGAGCUUACCAUGUGGUCCCACUGGCAGUUGAAUCCAUGCAGGCUGAAGAGCACCAAUGACAGCAGAGGGAAAUAGUUCUUCUAUUCAGUUCAGUUCAGUUCAAUCGCUCAGUCGUGUCCGACUCUUUGCGAGCCCGUGAAUCACAGCACGCCAGGCCUCCCUGUCCAUCACCAACUCCCGGAGUUUACCUAGAC